RNAcentral lists this small RNA (111 nucleotides) under Escherichia coli. RNAcentral describes it as "partial RtT sRNA". It matches the Rfam family "RtT RNA", at positions 1 to 109 of the family's 130-position model. Rfam says of the family: This family represents a bacterial cis-regulatory element known as RtT RNA. The exact function of RtT is unknown although it is thought that it may be involved in changing the cellular response in relation to amino acid starvation. Lineage: Bacteria; Pseudomonadati; Pseudomonadota; Gammaproteobacteria; Enterobacterales; Enterobacteriaceae. The record is from RNAcentral.
AUUCUGCCCAAGCGGGGAAGGAUGAGAAGCUUCGACCAAGGUUCGACUCGAGCGCCAGCGAGAGAGCGUUGCCGCAGGCAACGACCCGAAGGGCGAAGCGCGCAGCGCUGA